GGGCGUAUAGCUCAGCCGGUAGAGCAGCGGCCUUUUAAGCCGUUGGUCGCAGGUUCGAUUCCUGCUACGCCUACCA
This 76-nucleotide transfer RNA is filed under the name bacterium. Its description in RNAcentral is "tRNA-Lys". It matches the Rfam family "tRNA". Rfam says of the family: Transfer RNA (tRNA) molecules are approximately 80 nucleotides in length. The record is from RNAcentral.